CACGUAGGAGACGAGCGUUAUCCGGAUUCACUGGGCGUAAAGGGCAAGUAGGCGGUUGCUCAAGUUGGGCGUGACAAUCUCUGGCUUAACUAGGGGAGGACGUUCAAAACUAGGCAACUUGAGGGCAGGAGAGGAAAGCGGAAUUCCUAGUGUAGCGGUGGAAUGCUCAGAUACUAGGAGGAACACCGGUGGCGAAGGCGGCUUUCUGGUCUGCACCUGACGCUGAGAGGCGAAAGCUAGGGGAGCGAACGGGCUUAGAUACCCCGGUAGUCCUAGCUGUAAACGGUGGAUACUGGGUAUUGGGGGCUAACAUGCCUUCAGUGCCGAAGCCAACGCGUUAAGUAUCCCGCCUGGGGACUACGGCCGCAAGGUUAAA
This 376-nucleotide ribosomal RNA is filed under the name uncultured bacterium. RNAcentral's name for it is "bacterial SSU rRNA". It matches the Rfam family "Bacterial small subunit ribosomal RNA", at positions 524 to 898 of the family's 1533-position model. The record is from RNAcentral.